CAUGUAGCCAGCAUCCUCAGUCUCUACUUCGCUAGAAAUAGAAGAACAUGGCUAUUACUCCCUCCGUUCCCAAAUAUAAGUCUCUUUAGAGAUUUCAAUAAGUGACAACAUACGGAGCAAAAUGAGUGAAUCUACACUCUAAACUAUGUCUACAUGCAUCCGUAUGUUGUAAUCCAUUUGAAAUUUCUAAAAAGACUUAUAUUUAGGAACGGAGGGAGUAGAUCAGACAGAUGUAAUUCUACCACUACCAGACAUCACAUUAACUCCUCAACUUUACUCUGGAAGGUGCGCUAAUGCUCUGGUUUUAUUUUUCUAGUGUUUUGAACAAAGAUUCUAGACACAUUAUCUUCAGUUCAUACCAGAUCAAACAGAGGGAGUAGUAUUCUGCAGAAAUAUACGGUCCUCCUGUUCAACUUAAGACCAAAAAACAGGUCCUACUCAACUUGUGAAGGGCGGAAGAGCUAUAAAAUUCAAGCAUGUUGCAGACUUGCAGUCUUGGAAUGAAGUGAGUGGUUAAACAAGCACCAAACACUAGCCCCAACAGGACAAAAAAAAUCGAGAUUGAAGAGGACAAAUAUCCAUUUAGUUGUAGAUAAACUCUGGUGUAUAUUUGGCUGUGAUUGGCUUAAACCGUAGUAGAUAAAAUGUAUGUUGAUGCGCCUCACAGAUGUCAUGCAAACCAAACAGAAAUGGAAAUUUGUAAGUCAACAUGUAAACUUACUUCACCAGAGUA
Non-coding RNA from Triticum urartu, 733 nucleotides. The record is from RefSeq and is a predicted model, not a curated record. Lineage: Eukaryota; Viridiplantae; Streptophyta; Magnoliopsida; Poales; Poaceae.